Vicia faba (fava bean) is the source of this 432-nucleotide non-coding RNA. The record is from the annotation of a GenBank genome assembly. NCBI's taxonomy places the organism in Eukaryota, Viridiplantae, Streptophyta, Magnoliopsida, Fabales, Fabaceae.
AAGUAUGGAAAGAUUGAUGUUGUUGUUUCCAAUGCUGCUGCAAAUCCUUCUGUUGAGUCCAUCCUUAAAACACAAGAGUCGGUCCUUGACAAGUUAUGGGAGAUAAAUGUCAAAGCCUCUAUACUUCUUCUGAAGGAUGCAGCUCCUCACAUGCAAAAGGGUUCAUCUGUUGUUAUCAUUUCAUCAAUUUCUGGUUAUCACCCACCAGCUGCUAUGGCUAUGUAUGGGGUGACCAAAACAGCCCUUUUUGGACUUACCAAAGCCCUUGCUGCUGAGAUGGCCCCUAACACUCGUGUAAACUGUAUUGCUCCUGGUUUUGUACCGACUAAUUUUGCUUCAUUCAUUACCAAUAAUGCUGCUAUGAGAAAGGAGCUGGAACAGCAGACAUUACUUAGAAGGCUUGUUUCUGGCGGAAUGCCAUCGAGACUGUAG